UCGACGUGCUGGAGCUCUGCGCACGACCAGCUUGAGUUUGCACCCGCAGCUACAGGACACAACUUUAUGGAGAGACUCUGCCAAGCUGCACGGCGCCGCCCCGAGAAUCGCCAGAGCAUGGCCUGUGGUGAAACACGAGCCCAGGGAUCUGCACAGGAACGCCGCCGGCACUGGCACUGCUGUUGGGCUUGAGGCAGCUUUUUAAAAGAGGAGUACAGAGGCCCCAACCUCCUCCCCCGCCUACACAGCUUGAUACCUCUUGCACUGCCUGCAGUGGCUGGGUUUCACUCCCCUGCACCACUUAGUGCUGAAACUCUGGGAGAAGAAGUCCUAUGGCCCUAAGUGUCUUGCAAAUGGCCAGAGAAGCAAGAUUGGGGCUGAAGACAUGGAGGCUGCACACAACCAAAAGAGGAGAGAUGGCAUGUGAAGAGCAACAAGACCUCCUGGCCAUGGAGCCUUGGAAGAGAUCCCCUGCUGCCUAUGUUCUGCACCAGAUGCAACCACAGUUCCAGUAAGCAGCACUUCUGGGUCCUGCUCUUAACGUGGGAUGCGCUCGCAGAGAAACAGGGAUACCCAGCUCUUCUUCAUCAUUUCCCCUGGUUGACACUAAAUGGACCACCUACAAGGGGCACUACUGCUGCUGUGGAUGAGCCCAUUUAAAAAAAUAAGAAGAAACAAUUCAGAAAGUGACGCAUUACUUCUGCCUGCGGACAGAGGGAACAGCUGAAACGUGGGAGUCCAGACU
Long non-coding RNA from Lagopus leucura (white-tailed ptarmigan), 745 nucleotides. RefSeq lists it as uncharacterized. The transcript has 3 exons. The record is from RefSeq and is a predicted model, not a curated record. NCBI's taxonomy places the organism in Eukaryota, Metazoa, Chordata, Aves, Galliformes, Phasianidae.